UAGGGAAUAUUGGACAAUGGGGGCAACCCUGAUCCAGCCAUGCCGCGUGAGUGAAGAAGGCCCUCGGGUUGUAAAGCUCUUUUGUCCGGAAAGAAAAGCAUUCGGUGAAUACCCGGAUGUUCUGACGGUACCGGAAGAAUAAGCACCGGCUAACUUCGUGCCAGCAGCCGCGGUAAUACGAAGGGUGCAAGCGUUACUCGGAAUUACUGGGCGUAAAGCGUGCGUAGGUGGUUGUUGAAGUCUGAUGUGAAAGCCCUGGGCUAAACCUGGGAAUGGCAGAGGAAACUGGGCAGCUAGAGUGCGGUAGAGGGUAGUGGAAUUCCCGGUGUAGCAGUGAAAUGCGUAGAGAUCGGGAGGAACAUCUGUGGCGAAGGCGACUGCCUGGACCAGCACUGACACUGAGGCACGAAAGCGUGGGGAGCAAACA
This 427-nucleotide ribosomal RNA is filed under the name uncultured bacterium. RNAcentral's name for it is "bacterial SSU rRNA". It matches the Rfam family "Bacterial small subunit ribosomal RNA", at positions 355 to 774 of the family's 1533-position model. The record is from RNAcentral.